GUUUCGUCCAUGUUUUACCUUUCAACAGAUUAUCUUUUUGCUCUGAUUAUUUGUUUCCUGUCAUCAUAUUCAUCCCAAGUUUGUAAGCCACUGACUUGAGUUGCAUUUAUUGAUUGUAUUUUAAUCUGCCAUACUAAGUGCAGUUGACUUGAAAUAGCUCAAAAUAUAUUAUGUAAUAUGUGUAACCAUAUUCUCCUGAACCUGAGCAGAAAGAUCCUGCCAUUUUUGUUCCCAAGAUCCCAUUUGAUCUUCCAACAGCUGGAAUUUUGCAUUCUCAGCCAUGGAAGCUUUAGAUUUGUUGGCCAGUUUGAAAGAAGUGACUGGUUCCUCUGGAUCACAACUGUCUGAUACCAAAUUGUUAGACCCCUUGUUCGUGGAUCUAACAGAACAGAAGUUGAGAGAAAAAAGGGAAGGAGAGUGGAAGAAGUAGAGAGAAGAAUAAAAGUAAAGAAGAAUAGAAAAUAGAGAGAGAUUGAAUAGCUGAGAGAGAAAGUGAAUUGUAUUUCUUUUCUUGAAUGAUCCAAAUUCCGGCUAAGAAUUGACAAUUAAAACUAACUUGCUUAACCCACUAAUCAACUGUUGCCACCUCAGCGAACUGAAUCAACAUUUCUUCAUCUUUCCUGCCAACAAUUUGAUCCUUUUUUACAGCUUUCUCCUGAUUGGAGGCAGUAAAUAUAGCAAGCUAUCAUGUGUUUGUUUUGGUAUUUGGUAAUAUAGAGCUAACUGCUAUAUAAAUUCUGCUUCACCUCCUAUAUAGAGCGUAAAGAACAGAUAGAGAA
Molecule: unclassified non-coding RNA, 779 nt
Filed under: Hevea brasiliensis (rubber tree)
Lineage: Eukaryota; Viridiplantae; Streptophyta; Magnoliopsida; Malpighiales; Euphorbiaceae
Source: RNAcentral